Long non-coding RNA from Myotis daubentonii (Daubenton's bat), 797 nucleotides. RefSeq lists it as uncharacterized. The record is from RefSeq and is a predicted model, not a curated record. Lineage: Eukaryota; Metazoa; Chordata; Mammalia; Chiroptera; Vespertilionidae.
CAAUAAAUAUUAGGCCAUCCAUUUUUUUUCUUUCACUUAAUUCUUCUCCUCCUUUCUUUCCUCAGGGCCCUGUGCUGUGGGAGCACCUCUCACCUGGCCGGUUUUUGUUACCGCUGCAUGACGCUUGGGAGGUAGAAGGAACUGGAACUUGGAGGAGUGACUGUGGAGCACAGCACAGAGUGGGACUUGAGGGAAGCCACACUGUAUACAGAGAAGGAAGCUUCCGGUUGCAGAAAGUCGCUUGGGAAGACUGUGCAUGGAUGAGAUGCUUCUUGCUGAGAAGGGGACCAGCACAGCCCACCGUGUUGGGACUCGGGCAGAGAUCAAUAUGGCCUCAGAAACACCAGAGCAAAUGACUUCUCUCAAAUGCCAUCAAAGGUCACUGGAACCUUUCCUGUUUGGAUGGGGACACUCUCUGUUCGACAACCUAGAGCAUGUCACGGGCCUGCUGCCUGCUGCCUUGGGUUCCAACCACAAGAGCAUGAUUGAUCAUCAGUUAGAGGACACUGGGUACAAACUCCCUCAGGACUCAGCUGUGUGGAAUUAAUCGAAUACCAUGAUGAGUCUGAUUCAUCAUUCUCCAAAAAGGGGGUGGGAGUGGGGAAUGGCACAAAACACACCCAGAGCUUGAUGCAUGACGUCUCGUGGAGGUAAACUGCAAUUUAUACUCAGGAUCCUGGUGGUUACAGGCUGUGCAUGUGCUAUUUGGUUGCAGUUCUACACAAAUAUCCAGGGAACAAAGUAUCUUUGAAUCUUUCCUUCAUUCUAUUAUUCUUUCAAGGAAGAAGAUUGUUGGU